AAUGAACGCUGGCGGCGUGCUUUACACAUGCAAGUCGAGCGAGGCGGCCCGCAAGGGCCAGUCGAGCGGCGAACGGGUGAGUAACGCGUGGAUUAUCUGCCCUGAGGUGGGGGAUAACCCGGGGAAACUCGGGCUAAUACCGCAUAUGACCGGAAGGUCAAAGGGGGGUCGCAAGAUCUCUCGCCUUUGGAGGAGUCCGCGUUCGAUUAGCUAGUUGGUAGGGUAAUGGCCUACCAAGGCGACGAUCGAUAGCCGGCCUGAGAGGGUGAUCGGCCACACUGGAACUGAGACACGGUCCAGACUCCUACGGGAGGCAGCAGUGGGAAUUUGCGCAAUGGCUAACGCCUGACGCAGCAACGCCGCGUGGAGGAUGAAGGUCCUUGGAUUGUAAACUCCUGUCAG
This 402-nucleotide ribosomal RNA is filed under the name uncultured bacterium. RNAcentral describes it as "bacterial SSU rRNA". It matches the Rfam family "Bacterial small subunit ribosomal RNA", at positions 29 to 439 of the family's 1533-position model. The record is from RNAcentral.